Molecule: ribosomal RNA, 467 nt
Filed under: uncultured bacterium
Lineage: Bacteria
Description: partial 16S ribosomal RNA
Rfam family: Bacterial small subunit ribosomal RNA
Source: RNAcentral
GACGAACGCUGGCGGCGUGCUUAACACAUGCAAGUCGAACGGAAAGGCCCUGCUUUUGUGGGGUGCUCGAGUGGCGAACGGGUGAGUAACACGUGAGUAACCUGCCCUUGACUUUGGGAUAGCUUCAGGAAACUGGGGCUAAUACCGGAUAGGAGCUCCUGCUGCAUGGUGGGGGUUGGAAAGUUUCGGCGGUUGGGGAUGGACUCGCGGCUUAUCAGCUUGUUGGUGGGGUAGUGGCUUACCAAGGCUUUGACGGGUAGCCGGCCUGAGAGGGUGACCGGCCACAUUGGGACUGAGAUACGGCCCAGACUCCUACGGGAGGCAGCAGUGGGGAAUAUUGCACAAUGGGCGGAAGCCUGAUGCAGCAACGCCGCGUGCGGGAUGACGGCCUUCGGGUGGUAAACCGCUUUCGCCUGUGACGAAGCGUGAGUGACGGUAAUGGGUAAAGAAGCACCGGCUAACUACGU